Long non-coding RNA from Eriocheir sinensis (Chinese mitten crab), 4076 nucleotides. RefSeq lists it as uncharacterized. Lineage: Eukaryota; Metazoa; Arthropoda; Malacostraca; Decapoda; Varunidae. The transcript has 6 exons. The record is from RefSeq and is a predicted model, not a curated record.
ACGCACAGGAACCUCGGGCCAGGCUGUGGGGUAGAAUGGGAGUUGAUGGAUUGAUUGACCAGGGAACACAUAGGAACUGCAGGCCAGGCUGUGGGGUAGAAAGGGAGUUGACUGAUUGACUAAUUGAUUAUAUUUAGUACUGGAAACACAUAGGAACCGCGGACCAGGCUGGGGGAGGAGGAAGAGGUUAAAUAUCACAUGCAACUUUCCGCACUUUCUGCACUUAAGGAGUCUGCAAAAAACUUCAGAAGAAUUAUAGAAAACAUGGACUUUUUAAUGGUAUACUAUCACCAAAAACUCAUAUAUGCUUCCUUACUAAUGAGACUUUCUAUACAACAAAGUGAGGUCAUUCUGUGUUGAUUUAUACCGUAAGGUGCUGGCUAUCAUGUGUUUGAAGAUACCCUAAACUUAACCUAACCUAACCUAACAAAACCCCAAACAGUCACUAUAGGUCUUGACUCAGAAAACUCAUAUAUGCUUCCUUACUAAUGAGACUUUCUAUACAACAAAGUGAGGUCAUUCUGUGUUGAUUUAUACCGUAAGGUGCUGGCUAUCAUGUGUUUGAAGAUACCCUAAACUUAACCUAACAUAACCUAACAUAACCCCAAACAGUCACUAUAGGUCUUGACUCAGAAAACUCAUAUAUGCUUCCUUACUAAUGAGACUUUCUAUACAACAAAGUGAGGUCAUUCUGUGUUGAUUUAUACCAUAAGGUGCUGGCUAUCAUGUGUUUGAAGAUACCCUAAACUUAACCUAACCUAACCUAACAAAAUCCCAAACAGUCACUAUAGGCCUUGACUCAGAAAACUCAUAUAUGCUUCCUUACAAAUGAGACUUUCUAUACAACAAAGUGAGGUCAUUCUGUGUUGAUUUAUACCAUAAGGUGCUGGCUAUCAUGUGUUUGAAGAUACCCUAAACUUAACCUAACCUAACCUAACAAAACCCCAAACAGUCACUAUAGGUCUUGACUCAGGAAAAUCAUAUAUGCUUCCUUACUAAUGAGACUUUCUAUGCAACAAAGUGAGGUCAUUCUGUGUUGAUUUAUACCAUAAGGUGCUGGCUAUCAUGUGUUUGAAGAUACCCUAAACUUAACCUAACCUAACCGAACAAAACCCCAAACAGUCACUAUAGGUCUUGACUUAGAAAACUCAUCUAUGCUUCCUUACUAAUGAGACUUUCUAUACAACAAAGUGAGGUCAUUCUGUGUUGAUUUAUAUCAUAAGGUGCUGGCUAUCAUGUGUUUGAAGAUACCCUAAACUUAACCUAACAAAACCCCAAACAGUCACUAUAGGUCUUGACUCAGGAAAAUCAUAUAUGCUUCCUUACUAAUGAGACUUUCUAUACAACAAAGUGAGGUCAUUCUGUGUUGAUUUAUACCAUAAGGUGCUGGCUAUCAUGUGUUUGAAGAUACCCUAAACAUAACCUAACCUAACCUAACAAAACCCCAAACAGUCACUAUAGGUCUUGACUCAGGAAAAUCAUAUAUGCUUCCUUACUAAUGAGACUUUCUAUGCAACAAAGUGAGGUCAUUCUGUGUUGAUUUAUACCAUAAGGUGCUGGCUAUCAUGUGUUUGAAGAUACCCUAAACUUAACCUAACAAAACCCCAAACAGUCACUAUAGGUCUUGACUCAGAAAACUCAUAUAUGCUUCCUUACUAAUAAGACUUUCUAUACAACAAAGUGAGGUCAUUCUGUGUUGAUUUAUACCAUAAGGUGCUGGCUGUCGUGUGUUUGAAGAUACCCUAAACUUAACCUAACCUAACCUAGCAAAACCCCAAACAGUCACUAUAGGUCUUGACUCAGGAAUAUCAUAUAUGCUUCCUUACUAAUGAGACUUUCUAUACAACAAAGUGAGGUUAUUCUGUGUUGAUUUGUGCCAUAAGGUGCUGGCUAUCAUGUGUUUGAAGAUACCCCAAACUUAACCUAACAAAACCCCAAACAGUCACUAUAGGUCUUGACUCAGGAAAUUCAUAUAUACUUCCUUACUAAUGAGACUUUCUAUACAACAAAGUGAGGUUAUUCUGUGUUGAUUUAUACCAUAAGGUGCUGGCUAUCAUGUGUUUGAAGAUACCCUAAACUUAACCUAACAAAACCCCAAACAGUCACUAUAGGUCUUGACUCAGGAAAAUCAUAUAUGCUUCCUUGCUAAUGAGACUUUCUAUACAACAAAGUGAGGUCAUUCUGUGUUGAUUUAUACCAUAAGGUGCUGGCUAUCAUGUGUUUGAAGAUACCCUAAACUUAACCUAACAUAACCUAGCAAAAUCCCAAACAGUCACUAUAGGUCUUGACUCAGAAAACUCAUAUAUGUUUCCUUACUAAUGAGACUUUCUAUGCAACAAAGUGAGGUCAUUCUGUGUUGAUUUAUACCAUAAGGUGCUGGCUAUCAUGUGUUUGAAGAUACCCUAAACUUAACCUAACCUAACCUAACAAAACCCCAAACAGUCACUAUAGGUCUUGACUCAGAAAACUCAUAUAUGCUUCCUUACUAAUGAGACUUUCUAUACAACAAAGUGAGGUUAUUCUGUGUUGAUUUAUACCAUAAGUUGCUGGCUAUCAUGUGUUUGAAGAUACCCUAAACUUAACCUAACAAAACCCCAAACAGUCACUAUAGGUCUUGACUCAGAAAAAUCAUAUAUGCUUCCUUACUAAUGAGACUUUCUAUACAACAAAGUGAGGUCAUGCUUUGUUGAUUUAUACCAUAAGGUGCUGGCUAUCAUGUGUUUGAAGAUACCCUAAACUUAACCUAACCUAACCUAACAAAACCCCAAACAGUCACUAUAGGUCUUGACUCAGGAAAAUCAUAUAUGCUUCCUUACUAAUGAGACUUUCUAUGCAACAAAGUGAGGUCAUUCUUUGUUGAUUUAUACCAUAAGGUGCUGGCUAUCAUGUGUUUGAAGAUACCCUAAACUUAACCUAACAAAACCCCAAACAGUCACUAUAGGUCUUGACUCAGGAAAUUCAUAUAUACUUCCUUACUAAUGAGACUUUCUAUACAACAAAGUGAGGUCAUUCUGUGUUGAUUUAUACCAUAAGGUGCUGGCUAUCAUGUGUUUGAAGAUACCCUAAACUUAACCUAACCUAACCUAACAAAACCCCAAACAGUCACUAUAGGUCUUGACUCAGGAAAAUCAUAUAUGCUUACUUACUAAUGAGACUUUCUAUACAACAAAGUGAGGUCAUUCUGUGUUGAUUUAUACCAUAAGGUGCUGGCUAUCAUGUGUUUGAAGAUACCCUAAACUUAACCUAACCUAACCUAACAAAACCCCAAACAGUCACUAUAGGUCUUGACUCAGAAAAUUCAUAUAUGUUUCCUUACUAAUGAGACUUUCUAUACAACAAAGUGAGGUCAUUCUGUGUUGAUUUAUACCAUAAGGUGCUGGCUAUCAUGUGUUUGAAGAUACCCUAAACUUAACCUAACAAAACCCCAAACAGUCACUAUAGGUCUUGACUCAGAAAAUUCAUAUAUACUUCCUUACUAAUGAGACUUUCUAUACAACAAAGUGAGGUCAUUCUGUGUUGAUUUAUACCAUAAGGUGCUGGCUAUCAUGUGUUUGAAGAUACCCUAAACUUAACCUAACAUAACCUAACAUAACCCCAAACAGUCACUAUAGGUCUUGACUCAGAAAAUUCAUAUAUGCUUCCUUACUAAUAAGACUUUCUAUACAACAAAGUGAGGUCAUUCUGUGUUGAUUUAUACCAUAAGGUGCUGGCUGUCAUGUGUUUGAAGAUACCCUAAACUUAACCUAACAAAACCCCAAACAGUCACUAUUGGUCUUGACUCAGGAAAAUCAUAUAUGCUUCCUUACUAAUGAGACUUUCUAUACAACAAAGUGAGGUCAUUCUGUGUUGAUUUAUACCAUAAGUCGCUGGCUAUCAUGUGUUUGAAGAUACCCUAAACUUAACCUAACCUAACCUAACCUAACAAACCCCAAACAGUCACUAUAGGUCUUGACUCAGAAAAUUCAUAUAUGCUUCCUUACUAAUGAGACUUUCUAUACAACAAAGUGAGGUCAUUCUGUGUUGAGUUAUACCACUACUACCACUACUACUACUACUACUACUACUACUAUUACUAC